RNAcentral lists this small RNA (76 nucleotides) under Xanthomonas floridensis. RNAcentral describes it as "sX9 sRNA". It matches the Rfam family "Xanthomonas sRNA sX9". The record is from RNAcentral. Lineage: Bacteria; Pseudomonadati; Pseudomonadota; Gammaproteobacteria; Lysobacterales; Lysobacteraceae.
AUGUGCCACGCGUACAUUCCGGAUCCUGUGCGUCGUGCGCACCCACCUGACGACUGCUCGCUACGUGUCGGUAGCC